This is a long non-coding RNA of Papaver somniferum (opium poppy), 371 nucleotides long. RefSeq lists it as uncharacterized. The record is from RefSeq and is a predicted model, not a curated record. NCBI's taxonomy places the organism in Eukaryota, Viridiplantae, Streptophyta, Magnoliopsida, Ranunculales, Papaveraceae. The transcript is spliced from 2 exons.
AACCGGUGCCAUCACUGAUUAUAAAAAGAGAAGGGGUUUUUAUUCAUCAGUUAUACAUCUGAGAGAACUAAUAAAGGAAUGGCAUCAUCAUCAUCAACAACUCAAUCAAUAGUCUUCUGAUUCACUGCUAUGUUGCAUUGCUGAUUCAAAAGAGAUGGUAGUAUACGCAUGUAUUGAAGAUGGAGAUCCACGAAAUCAAGGCAUCACUUGGAUAAAGGGUGGUAUAUGCAUGUAUUGAAGAUGGAGAUCCACUUCUUUGAUUUGGUGUUACUUUCUCUGUACUUUGUUUUUCAUUAUUAUGCACGCAAGUUGUUUGAUGAAAUGACUAGCAUAGCAUGUCAAAAAAUUCCCUCACCGGUUUUGGUUUUUUA